UAUUAAAAUUUUUCUAGGAAAAUUUUAAUACAAAAGCAAUCAGAGGUUUGUGCCACCUUAAAACGCACACAAGCUUUCGUACCCUCUUUUCAAGAGUCAAUCCGUACUCGAGAUACCUUGAAAGAGAUACAUUCUUCCUCUCUUACUUUUCUUUAUUUCUCUUUAAAACUCUCUUCUUUCUGAUUAUCAGAUUCCAACAAUCUCAGGCUUAACAGAGAUACUGGGGACAUACCAAGCUGCAUUAAAAUAUUGAUAUGUCAACUUUCCGUUAUAAGUGCAAGCAGUUGGAUCAAGAGAUACAGUGGUGGUUUUCUGGAACAGGCAACCGAGCAUUUUGGAAAUUUGAGAAAAAAUUGGCUGAAUUGCACGAGUGGUACUGGAGUUUGGCACUAGACCCAUUUCCCUAUUCUGGGUUCUUUUACAAGUGCUUUUACGAAUUAUUUCAACUGUGGGUCAAACUAGGACUAAUUGUGCAAGUAAGCUACCUUAUUUUGCUCCUUGACUUUUUCGUCUACACCAUUCCAAAGAAAAUGGCUAGUCAGAUAGAAACUACAGUCGAAAAGGUUAAACAAAGUGGAAUACCAGCAGACAUACUGCGUAAACGCGCUGUGGAUUAUUGGAAGAAAAACAAUAGCCACAACUCGCAGAUGCAAGAUGUCCUACCCAAUGUGGAUGAAAUCUACGAGGGUAUGCGAGCAAAUAUUGCAAAAUAUCUUGGUCGCAGUUCCACUGUCACAAGUAUUGCCAAGCUCGGAAAGUGCAAGGUGUAUCGAAAGAAAAAUAUACCAUUAGCCAACUUGCCAAGUUUGCAAACCAGCUGUGUGCCCAUCACACUGACUGAGGAAAGUGUAGGAAAUUCUGACUACACAACUGAAGAAACCAAUUCAGAAGUGAAAUCAUUACACGUUGGAGCUAUUGAAAUCGUGAUGAAUAGCUUUGCGAGUAGUGAUUGUAACAUUCUUGGUGGUUUCUUACUAAUUGAUACAUGCCAUACAGAUAUCAACAAUGCUAUUCGUAGUAUUUUUGUGGCACCAAUGAGAGGAGGUCGACCAAUUAGGAUGAUUUCUUUUCCCGACACUCUGGUCCAGAUUGAGCCUAACAUGAAUAAGCGUUUUCAAUUGCUGUGUACAACAAGCAAUGGAGACUUCAUGCAAGGGCGAGAUCUGGCGAUGAUGCAUGUGAAUGUGCUAGCUCAUGCUGUCACGCACACAUCCACCUAUACUCCUACACCCUACUAUGAGAAAAUUCUCUCACGAGAAAAAGGAUUUAUUGUGGAGUAUCUGAAUAGGAUGACUUAUGCGGUUCAUAACCAAAAUCAUCCUACUGAAAAAGAUUUGCUUGAAAGUGAUUUCCAAUUUGACUUUGAAGGGCAACCAGUGCUUAAGAGAAUCUCAUCUACCAAAGCUAUUUUCUCUAAAGGUUCUAGUUUUCGAUAUAUGAUUUCUGGCAAAAAAGAGCACAAGAUUGACAAGCCAAGGCUAGAAGAAGAUGGUAGUAAGAGUUACAUUGAUGGUUUACAAGAUACCUUUGACACGACUCAUGCUACUCUGCAAUCUGGGGCUGAUCUAUUCAAACGAAAUUUGGAUGAUGUAAGCACCAUUUCGGACACCAUGCUUGGGGCCAUGAUUGGACAAACCAAGGUGGUGAUUCCAAAAACAUUAGUUGCAGGUACAGUUCUCAAAAGUGGACCGCUUUCAGAUGUGAUGCAGCAGGGAUCAUUCCGAUCAACAAUAGCAUUGCAAAGAACACAUAUAAUAACUGGAAAAAUACAUGUUGUUGCGAUGCUUGAAACUGCUGUAAAUACAGGACUGGGAUUGGCCAUUUGUUUCAAUAGUGGCAUUCGAGGAAAAGCUUCUGCAGACAUCUAUGCCACGUGUUCACAAGAUGCCAUGAUCUGGAAUCCAUCAUGCACCAAGGUUAUGCAAUAUGCAUUUAACCCUAACCCGUGUUCUGAUGGCUGGAGCUUGGCUUUUUUGGAGAGAACUGGUUACCAUUGUGUGGUCACAUGCGUGACAGGAUGGACUGGAACGCCAUUGCAAGACACCUUUAUGACCAUAAACUGGCAUAUUUCUAGGGAAGCAUGUGUACCAAAAAUAUAUACCAUUUUUGAUCCAGAACCAGAUAUGAUGUUAAAUAGAUGGAUGGGACGUGCUAUCUUUCCUCAGCAAAGUACGCAGGUUGUGAGGAGAAUGCCACUUUCCAUUGGUGGUGGUGCAGGUGCAAAGAAUUCAAUUUUGAUGAACCUUCCAAAUGCAAUACUAUCAAUGUGGCGUUACUUCAAGGCUGAUCUUGAGUUUGAACUCAUCAAGAUGUCCUCCCCAUAUAUAAAUGCGACAAUAGCAUUUUUUGUGGCCUUUGGGGAUCUCUCUGAUGAUACAGUUAAUUUUGAAGCUUUUCCCCACAAGUUAAUUGUCUUUUCUGACAAGCAAGACAGGACGACCAUAUCUUUCUCUAAGGAUGAAUUUUUGAUGGCAUGGUCCACACAGGUUAGGCCCGAUACUAAACUCAGUGAGGAUGGUUGCCCCUACCUGUAUGCCAUAACGCACAAUGGUGUUAGUUCUUCUGUGGAAGGAGAUUUUAUUCUUGGUAUCAAGAUGGUCGGGCUCAAAGCUGUAGAAAACAUAGGAGUGAAUCCAGGAAUCAUUGGAUCGCGCUUGUUAGGGGCAGUUGCCCAAUCUGGACAGACACAGCAGGUUUGGAAUAAGAUCUGGCGCAUUGGAACUCCACCGCAAGCCACAGAUGGUUUGUUCUCAUUUUCUAUAGAUCUUCUUGGAGUUGAACUGGUUACUGAUGGCCAGGAGGGGGCAGUUUCUGUAUUGAGCAGCAGUCCAGUAGCAAAUUUGCUACGCACAGCGGCUUGGAAGUGUGGAACGCUGCAUGUUAAAGUUGUUAUGACUGGGAGAGUUACUACCACUCGAGCCAAUUGGGCAUCACAUACCCAAAUGUCACUAGUGAAUUCUGACAAUGCUCAGCAUUAUGAAGCACAGAAAUGGAGUGUUUCUACACCACAUGCGUGGGAAAAGGAAUUUUCUAUAGACAUAUGUGGUCCCAACAGGGGUUUUGAGAUGUGGCGCUCAUCUUGGAGUAAUCAAACCACAUGGAUAUUAGAAUUUACGGUUGCUGGAGCUUCUCAGUCCGCAAUAUUCGAAAUAUUCUAUCGGCUUGAUAAUUCAUGGAAAAGUGCUGGAAAUGUUUUAAUGCCACCAUUGUUGGUUGGGAAUCCCAGGCUUGACAUCAAAGGUCGUGCCGCUGCAGCUGCAUAGUACUAUACUUUAACUAUUUGCUUUAAAUAAGCCUCAUAAGUCUAUGACCCCAAUUUGGUAUGCUCUAGCAGAGGUAAGUUUGGUUUGCAAUUUCUUUAUUUUUGUUGUAAACAUUGUAAUUAGCGUAUUGUGUGGUAGUAUAUGUUAUGCUCUUUUCACAUUUCAUCCAUGUAUUCCCAAGUCACUUUGACUCUAGGUAAGUGGAUUAAGCCUUACAUACCAGGCCGGUCUUGGGCAGCGACUGUUAAAUAUGUCCAAUCACUGAGGUAUCAUACGCCAUUUAGUUGGUUGUGUUGAUAUCGUCUAAACAGUUGGCGUUAACGCUUAUGCAUACAUUCAGAUUUUAUGUGCUUUAUUGCAUGUACGAAUGUACAGCAUUUGCUGUUGUAACGGGCUAGUUUAGAAUUAUUUAUAAAAGUGUGCAAUGUAGUAAUUAUGUGUGACUUUAAUUGUUCAUUGUUCUUCUUUU
This 3732-nucleotide unclassified non-coding RNA is filed under the name Cowpea severe mosaic virus. The record is from RNAcentral. Lineage: Riboviria; Orthornavirae; Pisuviricota; Pisoniviricetes; Picornavirales; Secoviridae.